Dromaius novaehollandiae (emu) is the source of this 131-nucleotide non-coding RNA. The record is from RefSeq and is a predicted model, not a curated record. Lineage: Eukaryota; Metazoa; Chordata; Aves; Casuariiformes; Dromaiidae.
CUCCUCCCAUGAUAGUGGUGCAGGGAAGCGCUCCCCUUGCAGCCAGUGGGAGAGAGAGAACAAAAGCUAGAGGAAAGUCGUCGUGGCUGCCAGGAGUUGGUGGCUGCCAUGUUUUCCUGCCUCUUACACUG